This 289-nucleotide unclassified non-coding RNA is filed under the name Hevea brasiliensis (rubber tree). Lineage: Eukaryota; Viridiplantae; Streptophyta; Magnoliopsida; Malpighiales; Euphorbiaceae. The record is from RNAcentral.
CAAUAUUGGAUCAUUUUGUAUCUAGGAACUUCUAUUCAGGUGACAACAUGGUACUAAACUAGAAGAGGAGAGAAGCCACUCUUCCAGAAAGGAGAAAGCAACUCCUAUUUAAUGAUGCUCCUAUCCAAAUUGCAAAGCAAUUAGACUGUAGCCUAAGUAGGUAAGCAUCACCUAAACCAAAUGACAAUGCUGAUCAAUGAAGAAUAAUAUAUGUGUGUGAAAGUCUUGGGCUGAAAAAGUAAGUCCUAUUAGAUUCUACUGCAAUUUCCAGAAAAAGAAUUAAUACACA